GUGUCAGCAGCCGCGGUAAUACGUAGGCAGCGAGCGUUGUUCGGAGUUACUGGGCGUAAAGAGUAUGUAGGCGGUUGCGCAAGUUUGGUGUGAAAUCUCCCGGCUUAACUGGGAGGGUGCGCCGAAAACUGCGCGGCUAGAGUGCGGGAGAGGAGAGCGGAAUUCCUGGUGUAGCGGUGAAAUGCGUAGAUAUCAGGAGGAACACCGGCGGUGUAGACGGCUCUCUGGACCGCGACUGACGCUGAGAUACGAAAGCGUGGGGAGCAAACAGGAUUAGAUACCCCAGUAGUCC
Molecule: ribosomal RNA, 292 nt
Filed under: uncultured bacterium
Lineage: Bacteria
Description: partial 16S ribosomal RNA
Rfam family: Bacterial small subunit ribosomal RNA
Source: RNAcentral